AUUGAACGCUGGCGGCAUGCCUUACACAUGCAAGUCGAACGGCAGCACGGGAGCAAAUCCUGGUGGCGAGUGGCGAACGGGUGAGUAAUAUAUCGGAACGUGCCCAGUAGUGGGGGGAUAGCCCGGCGAAAGCCGGAUUAAUACCGCAUACGACCUGAGGGUGAAAGCGGGGGAUCGCAAGACCUCGCGCUAUUGGAGCGGCCGAUAUCAGAUUAGCUAGUUGGUGGGUAAAGGCCUACCAAGGCUACGAUCUGUAGUUGGUCUGAGAGGACGACCAGCCACACUGGGACUGAGACACGGCCCAGACUCCUACGGGAGGCAGCAGUGGGGAAUUUUGGACAAUGGGCGCAAGCCUGAUCCAGCAAUGCCGCGUGCAGGAAGAAGGCCUCGGUUGUAAC
This 398-nucleotide ribosomal RNA is filed under the name uncultured bacterium. RNAcentral describes it as "bacterial SSU rRNA". It matches the Rfam family "Bacterial small subunit ribosomal RNA", at positions 29 to 429 of the family's 1533-position model. The record is from RNAcentral.